This 45-nucleotide non-coding RNA is filed under the name Schistosoma margrebowiei. The record is from RNAcentral. Lineage: Eukaryota; Metazoa; Platyhelminthes; Trematoda; Strigeidida; Schistosomatidae.
AUCCAGCUGAUGAGUCCCAAAUAGUAUGAAACACGCGUUCUGGAU